UACGUAGGUGGCAAGCGUUGUCCGGAUUUAUUGGGUUUAAAGGGUGCGUAGGCGGUCCUAUAAGUCAGUGCUGAAAUAUCCCGGCUUAACCGGGAGGGUGGCAUUGAUACUGCAGGACUUGAGUAAAGUUGAGGUAGGCGGAAUUGACGGUGUAGCGGUGAAAUGCUUAGAUAUUCGGAAGAACACCAGUGGCGAAGGCGGCUCACUGGACGACUGUUGACGCUGAGGUGCGAAAGCGUGGGGAGCAAACAGG
This 253-nucleotide ribosomal RNA is filed under the name uncultured bacterium. RNAcentral's name for it is "partial 16S ribosomal RNA". It matches the Rfam family "Bacterial small subunit ribosomal RNA", at positions 524 to 776 of the family's 1533-position model. The record is from RNAcentral.